RNAcentral lists this ribosomal RNA (500 nucleotides) under uncultured bacterium. RNAcentral's name for it is "partial 16S ribosomal RNA". It matches the Rfam family "Bacterial small subunit ribosomal RNA", at positions 30 to 523 of the family's 1533-position model. The record is from RNAcentral.
AUUGAACGCUGGCGGCAUGCCUUACACAUGCAAGUCGAACGGCAGCACGGGAGCAAUCCUAGUGGCGAGUGGCGAACGGGUGAGUAAAGUAUCGGAACGUGCCCAGUCGUGGGGGAUAACGUAGCGAAAGUUACGCUAAUACCGCAUACGAUCUAUGGAUGAAAGCGGGGGAUCGCAAGACCUCGCGCGAUUGGAGCGGCCGAUAUCAGAUUAGGUAGUUGGUGGGGUAAAGGCUCACCAAGCCGACGAUCUGUAGCUGGUCUGAGAGGACGACCAGCGACACGGGGAAUGAGACACGGCACAGGCUCCUACGGGAGUCAGCAGUGGGGAAUUUUGGACAGUGAGCGAAAGCCUGAUCAGGCCAUGCCGCGUGCAGGAUGAAGGCCUUCGGGUUGUAAACUGCUUUUGUACGGAACGAAAAGGUUUGGCCUAAUAAGCUGAGCUUAUGACGGUACCGUAAGAAUAAGCACCGGCUAACUACGUGCCAGCCGCCGCCGUAA